This 253-nucleotide ribosomal RNA is filed under the name uncultured bacterium. RNAcentral's name for it is "partial 16S ribosomal RNA". It matches the Rfam family "Bacterial small subunit ribosomal RNA", at positions 524 to 776 of the family's 1533-position model. The record is from RNAcentral.
UACGAACUGUGCGAACGUUAUUCGGAAUCACUGGACUUACAGGGUGCGUAGGCGGCUCAACAAGUCAGGUGUGAAAGCCCCCGGCUCAACCGGGGAACUGCGCUUGAAACUGUUAGGCUCGAGUCAGCUAGAGGUACACGGAACUUCCAGUGGAGCGGUGAAAUGUGUUGAUAUUGGAAGGAACACCGGAGGCGAAAGCGGUGUACUGGGGCUGGUCUGACGCUGAGGCACGAAAGCCAGGGGAGCGAACGGG